GACGAACGCUGGCGGCGUGCUUAACACAUGCAAGUCGAACGGAAAGGCCCUGCUUUUGUGGGGUGCUCGAGUGGCGAACGGGUGAGUAACACGUGAGUAACCUGCCAUUGACUUUGGGAUAACUUCAGGAAACUGGGGCUAAUACCGGAUAGGAGCUCCUGCUGCAUGGUGGGGGUUGGAAAGUUUCGGCGGUUGGGGAUGGACUCGCGGCUUAUCAGCUUGUUGGUGGGGUAGUGGCUUACCAAGGCUUUGACGGGUAGCCGGCCUGAGAGGGUGACCGGCCACAUUGGGACGGAGAUGCGGCCCAGACUCCUACGGGAGGCAGCAGUGGGGAAUAUUGCACAAUGGGCUGAAGCCUGAUGCAGCAACGCCGCGUGCGGGAUGACGGCCUUCGGGUUGUAAACCGCUUUCGCCUGUGACGAAGCGUGAGUGACGGUAAUGGGUAAAGAAGCACCGGCUAACUACGUG
Molecule: ribosomal RNA, 468 nt
Filed under: uncultured bacterium
Lineage: Bacteria
Description: partial 16S ribosomal RNA
Rfam family: Bacterial small subunit ribosomal RNA
Source: RNAcentral